GACGAACGCUGGCGGCAUGCCUAACACAUGCAAGUCUAGGGGUAGCAAUACCACUGGCGCACGGGUGAGUAACACGUAGGUUAUCUGCCCCCAUCACAGACAUAACCCCGGGAAACCGGGGCUAAUAUCUGAUGAGGUCGCGAGAUCAAAGCUUCGGCGGAUGGGGAUGAGCCUGCGGCUGAUUAGCUAGUUGGUGAGGUAAUGGCUCACCAAGGCGACGAUCAGUAGCUGGUCUGAGAGGACGAACAGCCACACUGGAACUGAGACACGGUCCAGACUCCUACGGGAGGCAGCAGUGAGGAAUAUUGGUCAAUGGGAGCAAUCCUGAACCAGCAAUGCCGCGUGUGGGAUGACAGGGCUUCGCCUUGUAAACCACUGUCGGACGGGACGAAAGGAGGCCUCGGGCCUCUGGGACGGUACCGUCAAAGGAAGGGUCGGCUAACUACGUGCCAGCAGCCGCGUAU
This 464-nucleotide ribosomal RNA is filed under the name uncultured bacterium. Its description in RNAcentral is "bacterial SSU rRNA". It matches the Rfam family "Bacterial small subunit ribosomal RNA", at positions 28 to 522 of the family's 1533-position model. The record is from RNAcentral.